Non-coding RNA from Macaca mulatta (Rhesus monkey), 576 nucleotides. The record is from RefSeq and is a predicted model, not a curated record. Lineage: Eukaryota; Metazoa; Chordata; Mammalia; Primates; Cercopithecidae.
CGGGGAGGGGGCGCCGCCGGUGCUGGCGAAGUCCCCGCAAAACCUCACCAACCCGCACGAACGCCUUCUCCAAUUUCCGAUUUGAUUCGAUUACUUUCAACGAUGUGUCAAGGACUAAGCUAGGGAACUGCAAGGGGGUGUCUCGGUUUGGGGUGAGGAGGCCCGGAGUUUUCAGAAAGGAGAGAGGGCAGGGACGGACCAGAUGGAGAAGGUGUUUUUGAUGGAAAACUCACUGUGGUGUCUGCCUAAUUGAUCUUGAAUGAUGGCAAGUGGGCACUUAUCAGGUAACUAUUGAUGAUUAACUGACAAGGAUCUGUGAAGGCUACACUUUGUCACUUCAGAGUGCCAGAGAUACCUAUCAGUAAUAUUUUCACGUCUAUGCUUAGUACCAUGCAGGUAAAUCCCAGGCGAUUAUCAUCGAGCUGAACUUUCAUGCAGAUGUUUAAAGUGAUGCACUUGUAAGGUUAUAAGGUGAAAAUGCUAAUGUUCAAAGCUAUUUGGCAUUUUGACAGUUGUUUUAUAAAUGAACCAAAAAGAAAGAAGUUGCUAUUGUGCAAUAAAUCUGUGUGAGACAAA